Molecule: RNA transcript, 2092 nt
Organism: Anastrepha ludens (Mexican fruit fly)
Lineage: Eukaryota; Metazoa; Arthropoda; Insecta; Diptera; Tephritidae
Gene: betaggt-I
Gene name: geranylgeranyl transferase type-1 subunit beta
Exons: 7
Source: RefSeq, a predicted model, not a curated record
CUCGGCUGCGAUCAGCUGUUCCUACAUAUUUCAUAGAACAGUUUAUUUCACAUUCUUCUUAGUAUAGCAAAUUUAUAAUUUUGUAAAUUUUUUUACGGCCAAGUGAAACAAAAGUUUAUAAACAAAUAUUCAAACUCGACUUUGUGUGGAAAUUAUUGAAAGGGAUAUGUGCAUGCAUAUCAAUUUAAAAGGAAGAAAUAAUCCCAUGUAAGAGGCAAUUGUGGGGAAUAUAAGAGAAGCAGCGGUGAUUGGCUGCUACUGCUGUUGCUCAUAACACACGCAGUUACGUUUAUUAUUAAAUGAAUUAUAAAUUACAGCUUGUGCUGAUUGCUAAUUAGUCAUAAAUACAUUACCACGGCCGAUACGAACACAUUCAGUAGAAUUGCUGAUUUCGAUUGGACUAGUCAAACAAGUAAUUUAAUUGCAACAAAUUGUAAUAAUUAGUGGGGGUGGGAAAAGUGAAAGUAAAAAUGUCCUACGACACACUUAAUAUAGAAGGUGAAAAGCGAGAGCCGGCUUUGCUACAAAAACAUGCAAAAUUCUUUGUGAGAUUUUUAAAUUUGCUACCAGCGCGUCUAGCUUCACAUGACUCCACCAGAGGCACCAUUGCAUUCUUUGCCGUGUGUGGUCUGGAUGUGCUGAACUCACUGCCACUACUUACGCCACAAAUGCAAAAGGAUAUAAUCGAAUGGAUUUAUGGUGGUUUGGUAAUUUCACAAGAGGGAGAAAGAAAAAGUUGCAGUGGUUUUCAGGGUUCGCGCUGUGUAAAUAUCAUUUCCGAUGAUGAGCAACUGCUUGCCAAUGCCAGAUGCUAUCAAUGGGGCCACCUUGCGAUGACAUACACCGGUAUUGCCAUAUUAGCAACGCUUGGGGAUGACUUAAGUCGUUUGGAUCGAAAAAACAUUGUCGAUGGUGUCGCGGCAGUACAACGUCCUGAUGGCAGUUUUAGCGCCUGCAUAGAUGGCAGUGAGAACGAUAUGCGUUUCGUAUUUUGUGCAGCUGCCAUUUGCCAUAUGUUGGACUAUUGGGGCAAUGUUGAUAAAGAAAAUAUGUUUCAGUUUAUAAGAAGUUGCAUUCGUUAUGAUAAUGGCUUUAGCCAGUAUCUGGAAGGAGAAGCUCAUGGGGGUACUACAUUUUGUGCAUUAGCUGCGCUUGAGUUGAGUGGCCAGCUGCAUCGCUUGGACGAAACUACGAGGGAAAAUAUAAAACGUUGGCUGAUUUUUAGACAAGUAAAUGGUUUUCAAGGUCGGCCCAACAAAACCGUAGACACUUGCUACUCCUUUUGGAUUGGUGCAGCGCUGCGUAUUUUAGGUGCCUUCGAACUAAUCAAUUAUGCUGAGAAUCGCGCAUAUAUUAUGGAAACACAAGACGGCAUAGUAGGUGGCUUCUCCAAAUGGCCACAAUCUACAACCGACCCAUUCCAUACAUACUUUGGCCUUUGUGGUCUAUCGUUUAUGAAUGAGCCUGGUUUAUUGGAAGUUAUGCCCAGUUUGAAUAUAUCUACACGCGCUUAUAAUCGCCUGAGGCAACUUCAUGCGAAGUGGCAAAUUGAUAGUGCAGAUGAAACAUUUCCAAGUCACGACACGCCGGUAUCAAAGCUCAGCAGUGAUGAAAAUUCAACGUCCGUUACCUCGCCGCUUAUAGCAGCACAAUAAUGCGCAUUUGUUCUAGCCUCUAUAUAAAAAUAUAUUAAGCUAAAAUGAUGUUGCUGGAAGUGAUUCAUGAUCGGUUGCGCAUUUGUUUUAUCGGACGCUUUUUUGCAGCUUACAUAUUUUCCAGCCCAGUCUUUUUGCUAACAAUUUAUUAAAGAAAUAACUCGAUCAGUUUUAUUUUAUACUCUAUAAAUGUCUGAUUCUAAUGCAUUCGUCCUUUGCAUUAAUUAAAAAAAUUCAAUUGUCCAUGAUAACAGUCAAGUGUACACGGUUCAGUUAAGUCGAGAGAAUCCAAUCGUAUUACAUGUGUCGAGGGAAACUAUUGUGAAAGCAUAAGCACAACUAUUUUUUAAUAGUAUUUAAUUAUAUUUGUCGGUAUUGCAAAUAAAAUCUUACAAAUAAAUUUAACUUAAAAUAUUUUCUAUAGAGAAUCACACAAA